CGGCGGACGGGUGAGUAACGCGUGGGUAACCUGCCUCAUACAGGGGGAUAACAGUUAGAAAUGGCUGCUAAUACCGCAUAAGACCACAGCACCGCAUGGUGCGGGGGUAAAAACUCCGGUGGUAUGAGAUGGACCCGCGUCUGAUUAGCUAGUUGGUAAGGUAACGGCUUACCAAGGCGACGAUCAGUAGCCGACCUGAGAGGGUGACCGGCCACAUUGGGACUGAGACACGGCCCAA
This 238-nucleotide ribosomal RNA is filed under the name uncultured bacterium. Its description in RNAcentral is "partial 16S ribosomal RNA". It matches the Rfam family "Bacterial small subunit ribosomal RNA", at positions 96 to 334 of the family's 1533-position model. The record is from RNAcentral.